GAGGGAGCAGAGCGGAACAGAAGUGGAAGAGGAUGGAUGUGCCAGGCCUCAGGCAAAGAAAUGGCAUUCAGCGGGUGGUCACGCUCCGUCCACAUUCCCACUCUUCCAGAGGGCAGUGGCACUGGUGAUCAUUAAAAACAACAUCACCCUUCAAAAUUGUGACAACUUCUUCCUCUAAUAGCCUGAAUCAGUGUCCCCGGAGAUAUCAGGUCUCCGUCUCUAGAACUGGGGAAUGUGACCUGAUUUGGAGAAGAAAUCUUUGCAGACUGUCACCUUCAGAACUCAGCCUUGUCUGAAAAUCCAUCCAGUCAAGAUGAACAACCACCUGAUGGAGUCACCAGUUACCUGAGGAAGGGGACACAGCCUUGGGAGAUGGAGCUGAGACGUGGCCUCACCUACUCCUUUCAUUAAAGGAGAUAGGACUCAAAGGGAUCAAUUUUACCGUGGGAAGCAGCCCAGGGACCAGAGCCCUGUUUGCAUGGCAGGUAGAG
This is a long non-coding RNA of Balaenoptera ricei (Rice's whale), 491 nucleotides long. RefSeq lists it as uncharacterized. The record is from RefSeq and is a predicted model, not a curated record. NCBI's taxonomy places the organism in Eukaryota, Metazoa, Chordata, Mammalia, Artiodactyla, Balaenopteridae. The transcript has 4 exons.